RNAcentral lists this ribosomal RNA (254 nucleotides) under uncultured bacterium. RNAcentral describes it as "partial 16S ribosomal RNA". It matches the Rfam family "Bacterial small subunit ribosomal RNA", at positions 524 to 776 of the family's 1533-position model. The record is from RNAcentral.
UACGUAGGGUGCAAGCGUUGUCCGGAAUUAUUGGGCGUAAAGGGCGCGUAGGCGGUCGUGACAAGUCACUUGUGAAAUCUCCGGGCUUAACUCGGAACGGUCAAGUGAUACUGUCGGACUAGAGUACAGAAGGGGCAACUGGAAUUCUCGGUGUAGCGGUGAAAUGCGUAGAUAUCGAGAGGAACACCUGCGGCGAAGGCGGGUUGCUGGGCUGAUACUGACGCUGAGGCGUGAAAGCCAGGGGAGCGAACGGG